Molecule: long non-coding RNA, 343 nt
Filed under: Aotus nancymaae (Ma's night monkey)
Lineage: Eukaryota; Metazoa; Chordata; Mammalia; Primates; Aotidae
Description: lncRNA (ENSANAG00000039205.1)
Source: RNAcentral
AUUGUCUUUUCCAGAGAUGAUGAAGUCACAGAUGUGAAAGCAUGUAAAAUUAUAAAGCUCUGGCAAGAGAGACUGAGAAUAGAGGAGAAACAAUCCCCCAUGAGGAGACCCAUGUGAUGAGGAACACAGACCUGGCAACAGCCAGAAGAGUGAGCUUGGAAGUGGAUCCUUAAGCUCCAGACAAACCUUGAGAUGAUCCCAUUUCUGACCAACAUCUUGACAGCAAGCUAAUGGAGACCCUGAGCCAGAAUCACCCAGUUUAGCUGUAUCCUGACCCUUGACUCUGGGGAAUUGUGAGAUAAAAGUUUUCUCUCUUUAGCGUCUAAAUUUUGGGUAAUUUAUU